GAGGGCCACGGCAGCACUUUCCGACGGGGUAGACAUUCAGUGUGCCCAUUGAAAGUGCCGAUCCUUUCCCCCUCCCAAUGGAAACCGAAUUUGAGCUGGUGUAUUCAUUACGUCAGCUUUCUUUCCUGAUUCAAAAUCUCCACUUUCGAACCGUUUCAAAUGGUGGAUUUUCCAGCGAAUCCUUUUCACACACCAUAUAUAUUCCAGAGUUCACCAUGGCCAGACCAACAAUCUCCAGAGUACCUUCAGGUUGCGCAUGACUGGAACUGCUCAUCUCAUCCUGAACAACAUGUUCGUCCACUUCCACAAGCUUUCACUGGCGAUCCUACUCACGGUCUCCUACUCAAUCGUUCAGGGUGCCGGCGCAGCCGGGGCCUCUCGGGCAGUCUCCUCAGGACUGUGCGAAGCACUUCCAUGGAUGAUGGAUGAUCUCGAAAUUAUUUCAUGGGAAGUGUGGAGCCAACACCAGUGUCAAUUGGUUCCACAUGAUCUCAUCAAAAACAAUUUGCCCAGGAUUCACCAGCUCUCAAGGAUGAGGAUGGAUAACUGCCUCAUGGAGAAAUCGGUUGCGGACAUGUACAUUCCCUUCAUGGAGCAAUUGCCCAAGAAAAACUCUGAUCGUGACCUUAAGAAGAAAAAAGUGCUCCACACCAUGGUCCACGUGUCUGAAAACAACUGUGUAAACACCGAGCCACAACAUCGAAUGACCAAGAGAGUUUUGAAUGAGUUGGCGAAACGCAAGGAAGAAGUAAGUUCAGACAUUGUGCACGUAAUGACAGACACGAACACGGACACAAAUUGCAAUAUCAAUCAGUCGGCUGUUUGUAGAAAGCAUCAUCACUCGAAGUUAAACAGGACAAUUAAUCGAAACACAAAUUAGUGUCAUUGCAUCAUCAGGAUGGCCGAGAGGAAAGAAAAAAAACUCGCCUCUAAGCUAUCUAGCCUAGGUUUGAAUCCCGACCCAGCUGUAGACUGCCAUUCCGCAUUUCACGGGCAUUAAACGGGAUUCCCCAUCUUCCAGCGUUUGCUGGUGGAUGUUAAACAUCCUACGGCGUCCGUUGUGAAGAGUAGGCGAGCUAUCGCCAGCACCAUUAACUAAUUCGUGCUCUAACCAAUAGAGGGCAUUGCAUCAGCAGCACGGUUAUGCCCGAGCCAACGAAGCGACCCUGCAGUGUUGUGCUGCAGACGAACGAAGAAAAUGGUGAUGUAGAGAAUGUAGAUCAUGAAAUGGCCAGGUUUUAGAUUAUUUUAUCAUGAAUUAGACAUUUGCUUUGGUUAAAUGAAUAAUUUACCGUCAUUUAUUUGCUUCUUCUCCCCUGAUGUUGUGUACAGGUGCAAAAUGCGAACAAGCAUGAAAUCUGCUCCGCCGCAAAUGGCCUGAGGAAGUUGAAGAAACUGUGUCCUGAAAAAUAUUGAAGAAGAAAAAAGAAGAUUAGGAUUGUCGUCGACAAAUAAAUGAAUAAAAAAAAUUGUAGAGGGAGGCGACAUGUUGAAAGUUAUGUGUUUAAGUGAAGCGACGACUUGUAUGUUUACAAUUCAGUUUUAUAGUUCAUAGGAUGAUGAUAAAACAUGGGUUGAUGGGACUAAAUCACGUGAUACACCGUGAGGUUAAAAAAAAAAAAGGACAAAAUACUCAUCGUACCUCAUUAUAUUUUGUAACUUAUUCACCUCAGUGCUUAUUUAUUGUUGUGCUUCUGUAUUUAUUUGAAUUCACUAUGAAACAAUGUCAACCAAAGACCGUACGUGGCUGUACAAGAAGGUAUUUUUUUUUAAUGGAAAAUUAAUUUAUUUAAAUUAUAUUUAUGAACGUGAUAUUUGUUUGAACUGAUAAUUUAUUAAUAAUUUAUUUCCCUUAAUUUAUACCCUACGAUGGAAACGGUAAUUCUUUUACAUACGAU
Eptatretus burgeri (inshore hagfish) is the source of this 1898-nucleotide long non-coding RNA. The record is from Ensembl. NCBI's taxonomy places the organism in Eukaryota, Metazoa, Chordata, Myxini, Myxiniformes, Myxinidae.